GAUGAACGCUGGCGGCGUGCCUAAUACAUGCAAGUCGAGCGAACGGACGAGAAGCUUGCUUCUCUGAUGUUAGCGGCGGACGGGUGAGUAACACGUGGAUAACCUACCUAUAAGACUGGGAUAACUUCGGGAAACCGGAGCUAAUACCGGAUAAUAUUUUGAACCGCAUGGUUCAAAAGUGAAAGACGGUCUUUCUGUCACUUAUAGAUGGAUCCGCGCUGCAUUAGCUAGUUGGUAAGGUAACGGCUUACCAAGGCAACGAUGCAUAGCCGACCUGAGAGGGUGAUCGGCCACACUGGAACUGAGACACGGUCCAGACUCCUACGGGAGGCAGCAGUAGGGAAUCUACCGCAAUGGGCGAAAGCCUGACGGAGCAACGCCGCGUGAGUGAUGAAGGUCUUCGGAUCGUAAAACUCUGUUAUUAGGGAAGAACAUAUGUGUAAGUAACUGUGCACAUCUUGACGGUACCUAAUCAGAAAGCCACGGCUAACUACGUG
Molecule: ribosomal RNA, 497 nt
Filed under: uncultured bacterium
Lineage: Bacteria
Description: partial 16S ribosomal RNA
Rfam family: Bacterial small subunit ribosomal RNA
Source: RNAcentral